Ictalurus punctatus (channel catfish) is the source of this 372-nucleotide long non-coding RNA. NCBI's taxonomy places the organism in Eukaryota, Metazoa, Chordata, Actinopteri, Siluriformes, Ictaluridae. The record is from Ensembl.
GGCACCUCUAUCCAAUGCCUCAGCGCGCGAGGCUGCACUUGUAGUGUGGAAGGAAGUUGGCUCGAGGCUUCGUGGCUUCACUCUUCGCAGCGCCACUUGCACUCCGGCAUUAUGAGCAGAGCUGGCCAGAGCUGCGCGCCUUUCUGAAUUUACGUGUCGAGUGAUUAGAGAUCAUGGAGUUGGGAGCCCGCGUCCUCGUCGCCUUCCUCGCCUCCCAGAACUGAGGGUGACAACGCGGCAAUCACACAAUUGAUGGUCCCUCAAUUUUCUCUGCGGAAUUGGUUAUACUCCGCCUUGGAAUGACACCGGUCCGAAAUGGAAUUAGGGACAGAAGGCUAAACAUGUUGUGUUAGAAUAACCAAGGAGACCACC